Drosophila miranda is the source of this 399-nucleotide long non-coding RNA. RefSeq lists it as uncharacterized. The transcript is spliced from 2 exons. The record is from RefSeq and is a predicted model, not a curated record. NCBI's taxonomy places the organism in Eukaryota, Metazoa, Arthropoda, Insecta, Diptera, Drosophilidae.
GGCGAGGCAGCUUCUUGUUGGUCAGCUCUGUCUGGUGAUUGGCAGUGGCUGUCUCUGGAUCAACGAUUGGCUCCACAUAGACGUCCCGGACUGAUGGGGACAGACAGUUGGACAGCAAACUGACAGCGCCAACCGACUGCGAGCCCCAGCUCCAGCCCCACCUCCAGUCUUCCAUCGAGGUCCCUUUGUCGGUGGAAAGUGCAGCAGGACAUACCACAGGCUUCUCCCAGCUGUCAGUCCGAGGCACUUUACAUAACAUAUUCUCCUACGAGCAUGAUUCAAAUAAAAGGUACCCCAAAGCAGGCAUCGAAGUAGGCCUUUAAUUGGACGUUACAGGAACCCCACCCGUUCGUCAUAAACAGUCGGGCUUUGGAAGGAAGCACAUCUCGAAAAAAAAAA